GAUGAACGCUGGCGGCGUGCUUAACACAUGCAAGUCGAACGAAGCACUUUAUUUGAUUCCCUUCGGGAUUGAUUAUUUUGUGACUGAGUGGCGGACGGGUGAGUAACGCGUGGGUAACCUGCCUUGUACAGGGGGAUAACAGUUGGAAACGGCUGCUAAUACCGCAUAAGCGCACAGUAUCGCAUGAUGCAGUGUGAAAAACUCCGGUGGUAUAAGAUGGACCCGCGUUGGAUUAGCUAGUUGGUGAGGUAACGGCCCACCAAGGCGACGAUCCAUAGCCGACCUGAGAGGGUGACCGGCCACAUUGGGACUGAGACACGGCCCAAACUCCUACGGGAGGCAGCAGUGGGGAAUAUUGCACAAUGGGCGAAAGCCUGAUGCAGCGACGCCGCGUGAGUGAAGAAGUAUUUCGGUAUGUAAAGCUCUAUCAGCAGGGAAGAUAAUGACGGUACCUGACUAAGAAGCACCGGCUAAAUACGUGCCAGCAGCCGCGGUAA
RNAcentral lists this ribosomal RNA (497 nucleotides) under uncultured bacterium. Its description in RNAcentral is "partial 16S ribosomal RNA". It matches the Rfam family "Bacterial small subunit ribosomal RNA", at positions 28 to 523 of the family's 1533-position model. The record is from RNAcentral.